This 94-nucleotide microRNA precursor is filed under the name Dasypus novemcinctus (nine-banded armadillo). RNAcentral describes it as "miRNA (ENSDNOG00000037679.1)". Lineage: Eukaryota; Metazoa; Chordata; Mammalia; Cingulata; Dasypodidae. The record is from RNAcentral.
UCCUGACAUGAUUCUAAUGUCAUAUAUAUAUAUGUGUGUGUGUGUGUGUGUAUGUAUGUGUGUGUAUAUAUAUAUACACAUACAUUACUACACU